This 253-nucleotide ribosomal RNA is filed under the name uncultured bacterium. RNAcentral's name for it is "partial 16S ribosomal RNA". It matches the Rfam family "Bacterial small subunit ribosomal RNA", at positions 524 to 776 of the family's 1533-position model. The record is from RNAcentral.
UACGUAGGGGGCUAGCGUUGUCCGGAAUCAUUGGGCGUAAAGCGCGCGUAGGCUGCCAGAUAAGUCCGGUGUGAAAGUCAAAGGCUCAACCUUUGAAUCCCGCUGGAAACUGUCUGGCUAGAGUCCGGAAGGGGCGAGUGGAACUCCUGGUGUAGCGGUGAAAUGCGCAGAUAUCAGGAAGAACACCAAUGGCGAAGGCAGCUCGCUAGGACGGUACUGACGCUGAGGCGCGAAAGCGUGGGGAGCAAACAGG